Molecule: ribosomal RNA, 465 nt
Filed under: Vreelandella stevensii
Lineage: Bacteria; Pseudomonadati; Pseudomonadota; Gammaproteobacteria; Oceanospirillales; Halomonadaceae
Description: partial 16S ribosomal RNA
Rfam family: Bacterial small subunit ribosomal RNA
Source: RNAcentral
CCUACGGGUGGCAGCAGUGGGGAAUAUUGGACAAUGGGCGAAAGCCUGAUCCAGCCAUGCCGCGUGUGUGAAGAAGGCCUUCGGGUUGUAAAGCACUUUCAGUGGGGAAGAAAGCCUUGGGGCUAAUACCCUCGAGGAAGGACAUCACCCACAGAAGAAGCACCGGCUAACUCCGUGCCAGCAGCCGCGGUAAUACGGAGGGUGCGAGCGUUAAUCGGAAUUACUGGGCGUAAAGCGCGCGUAGGCGGUCUGAUAAGCCGGUUGUGAAAGCCCCGGGCUCAACCUGGGAACGGCAUCCGGAACUGUCAGGCUAGAGUGCAGGAGAGGAAGGUAGAAUUCCUGGUGUAGCGGUGAAAUGCGUAGAGAUCGGGAGGAAUACCAGUGGCGAAGGCGGCCUUCUGGACUGACACUGACGCUGAGGUGCGAAAGCGUGGGUAGCAAACAGGAUUAGAUACCCGUGUAGUC